CACGUAGGGCGCAAGCGUUGUCCGGAAUUAUUGGGCGUAAAGAGCUCGUAGGCGGUCUGUUGCGUCUGCUGUGAAAACCCGGGGCUUAACCCCUGGCUUGCAGUGGAUACGGACAGACUAGAGGUAGGUAGGGGAGAAUGGAAUUCCCGGUGUAGCGGUGAAAUGCGCAGAUAUCGGGAGGAACACCGGUGGCGAAGGCGGUUCUCUGGGCAGUAACUGACGCUGAGGAGCGAAAGCGUGGGGAGCGAACAGG
This 253-nucleotide ribosomal RNA is filed under the name uncultured bacterium. RNAcentral's name for it is "partial 16S ribosomal RNA". It matches the Rfam family "Bacterial small subunit ribosomal RNA", at positions 524 to 776 of the family's 1533-position model. The record is from RNAcentral.